Molecule: long non-coding RNA, 3685 nt
Organism: Nerophis ophidion (straightnose pipefish)
Lineage: Eukaryota; Metazoa; Chordata; Actinopteri; Syngnathiformes; Syngnathidae
Exons: 3
Source: RefSeq, a predicted model, not a curated record
CACAAUAAGACAGUCCGAUACCCCAUACUCUCUGAGCACUCCCCACAGGACUUCCCGAGGGACACAGUCGAAUGCCUUCUCCAAGUCCACAAAGCACAUGUAGACUGGUUGGGCAAACUCCCAUGCACCCUCAAGAACCCUGCCGAGAGUAUAGCGCUGGUCCACAGUUCCACGACCAGGACGAAAACCACACUGUUCCUCCUGAAUCCGAGGUUCGACUAUCCGGCGUAGCCUCCUCUCCAGUACACCUGAAUAAACAGUCUAUAGUCUAGUGCGGCUAAUAUUUCGAAAAAGUAUUUUUUCUUCUAAAAUGUUGUGGGUGCGGCUUAUAUACCGAUACGCUCUAUAGUGCGGAAAAUACAUUAAGUUAAGUAAAUAUUAUUUUGGUAAGUUCGUAGCUGUUAAGUAAGUAGCAUCUAAUUAUUUAAGUAGGACGUACUUGAUGUUGGGAACCUCACAUGACUUUGGUCUUGAGCUCGGCAGAGGAAACUGUGGGCGGGGAAAACCACAUGUCAAGUACUUUGUGGAGGAGCAGUGCACGUUGGCGUGAGCCCGAGAAGCUCUCACCUUUUUAGCGUCCCAGGCUUUGAGGAGCUUGUUGUCAUCGAGAACGUUCUCCUCGAUGGGGGGCACGGGAUAAGGAAAGACUGGGGGACAAGAGCGUGCACGUGUCAGUGUGGCGUUGACCGGCUGGCUGACCUUUGAUCGGCUUUGGGUCGGAGUGGGUCUCACCGUUGCGCCGGCCUCCAUGGGACGUGAGAGCGGAGUCUCCAGUGGCAAAGGGAUCCCCCGAGAGUGGGUUCAUGACGCUGGUGUGGAGGGCGGAGUCAGAGUUGGUCCUGCAGAACAACACACACCUUUGCCGUUAGUAAGCCAGACAAUCCAGUCGACCAAUCACGGGGCUCCACCCCGGACGCAGUUACCAAGUCGCGCGCGUUGGUUGGUUCACACAAACUUACCUUUGUGUAGCAAAAGGAAGGGAAAAAAGUGAAGAAGAUUGAUUGGCGCAGACUGAACGAGAAAGAUGGAGGAAAAGGAGGAUUCACCUGUUGAGUGCAGUGGUGGGGAGACGGAACAACUGGCUUUUGUCCCCCGGGAAGAUUCCGGACCAAUUCCUUUUCAUGAUCGACAAGAAGAAAACGUUAUUUUCCUGCGCCCGGCAAGUGCAGGAAAAGAAAGCAAUCACUAAGAGCGAGGAAGAGGAGGCAGCGUCAGGAAACAUGAUGAAGGGAGAAAGGAAAAAGUCCCAAGAAGCGACUGGACGCCAUGGAGGUGCGUGCCCGUGCAGCCAUGUGCGGACGACGCGGCUCUGGUUAGAAAGCGCCAGAAGGAAUGCAGGCAAAUUCCCACAAGGAGGGAAAAGAGGAAGUGAGAGCUCCUCCAAAGUAAUGCAGCUUCCUGUCUUCCAAGCUAGUGUGUUAGCGCUCCAAAGCAGCAAGACGGAAAAGCGUGUGUCCGUGAAGACGCAAAGCAGCAAGAUCAUAGACUCUACCUUCUCCAACUCGGGUCGGGGGGCGGGGACAAGUAGGCGGAGUUAUAUGAAGUGCUGUCCACCUGAGGCUGGCGGUUAAGCAAACAUCCAGCAGACUGUCAAAACAAAAGUCAACAAAAAGGCGCAGCUGCUGAAGGAUACUUGGCGGUUACGGUACGGCCGAACUGGCGACAUGAAGCGACGGUCCCUCUGGACCCUUUCCACCAGGCCGUGAUGACGUGUGGAGCGACUGGACUCCAGAUUGGACGUGAAGGAGGCCUGCGCAAGGAAAGAAAUGAAACCCAAGACAGAGUGAGACCUCCUCAAUACACUGCACAGCGUGAAAAAGUGCUGGCGAGGACCGACGCACUCACCUGCGGGUCCUGCGGGACUCGGCCGAUCUGGUUGACGUUGGGCAGGGAUCCUCCGUAGUACGGCCCUUGAUUCCGGGCUAGGCGGAGCUUCUGGGCCUGAAGCUGCUCCAGGAGAACACGACAGGUUGGUUCUCCAACACAGUGGAAGCAACAGUUUGCAAUAAAAGCACUUUAUACCGUGUUGUAAGUAUGCAGUACAUCGUGGGAAGGUAUCAAAUGAAAACUUGGUGAGUGUAGUUUUUUUCUGUGGUUUUUACAGUCUAAAAAUAAUCCACAUAUCCCAAAAACCUCUGCGCAGCACGGGACCGGCAAGGUGGGGGGGCAUGGGACGCCGUAAAGAGGAGAAAAAGAACAGUCAAACCUGGAGAAAACAUAAGCGCACCACCUUCGUCUCGAGCGCUUGCAAGCCGGUCACAGUGCACGGCGUGGAGGGGAGAGCGCCCAGUCGGAGCGCAGACACUACACACCCCGCGGGGAAUACGAGAAGCUCCCUUGAUAAACCAUCACCCGGAAAAUAUAUUUGAAGCCAGCGAUUUCUGAGGUCAUGUGCUGACACCACUUUCGCAAAGACGUCCCAGCCCACGCCGCCACGGUCACAUCUUGAUGAAGAGCACGGCGGUGACGACGGCGAAGCCCAGCAGCGCCACGGCAACUUUGGUCACGCGGCCACGCCCAUGGCCGAGCUCGUGCGGCAGGAUCUCCAUGAAGGUGAUGUAGAGGAAGGUGCCCGUCGCCACACCCUGCAGCGUGUAACAAGCCAGCCGCCCCUGCAAUGACGUUUCGCUCUCCGAGAGGCCGAUGCCCAGGCCGAUGCCCAGCGGCGCCAUGGCGGCAAAAAUGAGCAGGCAGGCGACGACCAGGGAGCGUCGCAGGCGUCCGUGAGCCAGCGUGAAGGCGAGGCUGAGCGAGAUGACGCUCUUGUGGAUGGCCAGAGCCAGACACACCUCCAGGACCUCCUGGCCUUGUCCCAGCAGGCCCACCGCAAGACCCUCAAAGAUGGAGUGCAGUGACAGCGAAAACACCAGCACGAAGGCGCGCAACGUCGACGGCGGUGCAGAGUCGGGCUCCUCCUUGGCGUGACGGCGCUGGGGGGGCGGCGCCUCACCGACACUCGCCUGCACGCUGGAGUUCUCUAGCAGGCCUUGCCUCUCCUCAGCGUGGGCCCACGACUGUUCCUUGAAGGCAAGAACCACCUGCUCCAGGACCAGAACCAAGAAGAAGCCCAUGGCCACGAUGAACUCGGGCAGAGGAAACUGCAGCUGCACCAAAAGAAAAAGGCCAUUAACAGGCUUACAGCUCAUGAAAACAAGAAACGCUAACAGAACAUGCCAAUGUCAACGCUAACACAAUAGGCUAACCGUAAACACUAACAAAACAUACUGUCAACGCUAACAGAACAUAACUCAACACUAAUAUAACGUCCCUUCAAUCAUAACAGAACAUGCUAACAGUAAAAGCUAAUAGAACAUGCCAACUGUAAGCGCUAACAGAACAUGCUAACUGUAAAAGCUAAUAAAACAUGCCAACAGUACACACUAACGGAACAUGCCAACUGUAAGUGCUAACAGAACGUGCUAACUGUAAACACUAACAGAAUAUGCUAACCGUAAAUGCAAACAGAAUAUGCUAACAGUAAGCAUUAACAGAACAUGCUCACAGUAAACGCUAACAGAACAUUCUAAUUGUAAUUGCUAACAGAGCAUUAAAACAGUAAACGCUAACAAAACAUGCUAGUGCAAACGCUAACAUAACAUGUUGUCUGUAAACGCUAAGAGAACAUAACUGUCAAUGUUAACAGAAAAAGCUAGUAGUAACCAUAACAGAACAUGCUAAAUGUAAA